GGAGUUUGGGCCGUGUCUCAGUCCCAAUGUGGCCGUUCACCCUCUCAGGCCGGCUACUGAUCGUCGCUUUGGUGGGCCGUUACCCCGCCAACUGGCUAAUCAGACGCGGAUCCAUCUCACACCGAUAAAUCUUUUACCCCUGCACCAUGCGGUGCUGUGGUCUUAUGCGGUAUUACCAGCCGUUUCCAGCUGCUAUCCCCCAGUAUGGGGCAGGUUGCCCACGCGUUACUCACCCGUCCGCCACUAAGUAUACCCAUGCUUCGGCCGAAGCCUCCGCGGCGGAUAUACCCCGUUCGACUUGCAUGUGUUAGGCACGCCGCCAGCGUUCAUC
RNAcentral lists this ribosomal RNA (331 nucleotides) under uncultured Butyrivibrio sp. RNAcentral describes it as "partial 16S ribosomal RNA". Lineage: Bacteria; Bacillati; Bacillota; Clostridia; Lachnospirales; Lachnospiraceae. The record is from RNAcentral.